This 253-nucleotide ribosomal RNA is filed under the name uncultured bacterium. Its description in RNAcentral is "partial 16S ribosomal RNA". It matches the Rfam family "Bacterial small subunit ribosomal RNA", at positions 524 to 776 of the family's 1533-position model. The record is from RNAcentral.
UACGAAGGGUGCAAGCGUUGCUCGGAAUUAUUGGGCGUAAAGCGCACGUAGGCGGCUUGGCAAGUCGGAUGUGAAAGCCCUCGGCUCAACCAAGGAAGUGCAUCCGAAACUGCUGAGCUUGAGUACUUAAGAGGAUCGCGGAAUUCCCGGUGUAGAGGUGAAAUUCGUAGAUAUCGGGAGGAACACCAGUGGCGAAGGCGGCGAUCUGGGAAGAUACUGACGCUGAGGUGCGAAAGCGUGGGGAGCAAACAGG